UGAAUACGAGAUGCUACGGCGUCGAAGCAGUCUAUGUCAUACUUCCAAGAAAAGCCUGCACUGUCAUAAACAAAUAAUGCCUGUACCAUAACCGACACAGGUGGGUAGGUAGAGUAUACUAAGGGGCGCGAGAUAACUCUCUCUAAGGAACUCGGCAAAAUGACUCCGUAACUUCGGGAGAAGGAGUGCCUUAUUUAUAAGGUUGCAAUAACAAGACCCAAGCAACUGUUUAUCAAAAACACAGGUCUCCGCUAAGUCGUAAGACGAUGUAUGGGGGCUGACGCCUGCCCAGUGCCAGAAGGUUAAAGAAGUUGGUUAGCAUUAGCGAAGCUGAUGACUGAAGCCCUGGUGAACGGCGGCCGUAACUAUAACGGUCCUAAGGUAGCGAAAUUCCUUGUCGGGUAAGUUCCGACCCGCACGAAAGGCGUAAUGAUUUGGGUACUGUCUCAGAGAGGGACUCGGUGAAAUAGACUUGUCUGUGAAGAUGCGGACUACCUGCACCUGGACAGAAAGACCCUAUGAAGCUUUACUGUAACCUGAAAUUGAAAUUGGACUUUAUUUGCGCAGUAUAGGUGGGAGGCUUUGAAGAUAUUCUUGCGGGAAUGUUGGAGCCAUCAGUGAGAUACCACUCUUGUAAUGUUAGAUUUCUAACUUUGUAUCAUUAUCUGGUCAAAGAACAGUUUCAGGCGGGCAGUUUGACUGGGGCAGUCGCCUCCUAAACGGUAACGGAGGCGCACAAAGGUUUCCUCUGAACGGGUAGAAAUCGUAUCUAGAGUGUAAAGGCAUAAGGAAGCUUGACUGUGAGACCUACAAGUCGAGCAGGGACGAAAGUCGGUCUUAGUGAUCUGACGGUGCUGAGUGGAAAGGCCGUCACUCAACGGAUAAAAGUUACUCUAAGGAUAACAGGCUGAUCUCCCCCAAGAGUUCACAUCGACGGGGAGGUUUGGCACCUCGAUGUCGGCUCAUCGCAUCCUGGGGCGGUAGUACGUCCCAAGGGUUGGGCUGUUCGCCCAUGAAAGCGGUACGCGAGCUGGGUUCAGAACGUCGUGAGACAGUUCGGUCCAUAUCCGGUGUAGGCGUUAGAAUAUUGAGAGGAGCCUUCUCUAGUACGAGAGGACCGAGAAGGACACACCUCUGGUGUACCAGUUAUCGUGCCAACGGUAAACGCUGGGUAGCUAUGUGUGGAGCGGAUAACCGCUGAAAGCAUCUAAGUGGGAAGCCCACCUCAAGAUAAGUAUUCUCAU
This 1244-nucleotide ribosomal RNA is filed under the name metagenome. Its description in RNAcentral is "bacterial LSU rRNA". It matches the Rfam family "Bacterial large subunit ribosomal RNA", at positions 1564 to 2817 of the family's 2925-position model. The record is from RNAcentral.